ACGGCUCAGUAACACGUCGGUAACCUACCCUCGGGAGGGGGAUAACCCCGGGAAACUGGGGCUAAUUCCCCAUAGGCCUGAGGUACUGGAAGGUCCUCAGGCCGAAAGGGACUUAUGCCCGCCCGAGGAUGGGCCGGCGGCCGAUUAGGUAGUUGGUGGGGUAAUGGCCCACCAAGCCGAAGAUCGGUACGGGCUGCGAGAGCAGGAGCCCGGAGAUGGACACUGAGACACGGGUCCAGGCCCUACGGGGCGCAGCAGGCGCGAAACCUCCGCAAUGCGGGAAACCGCGACGGGGGGACCCCGAGUGCCGUGGCAACGCCACGGCUUUUCCGGAGUGUAAAAAGCUCCGGGAAUAAGGGCUGGGCAAGGCCGGUGGCAGCCGCCGCGGUAAUACCGGCGGCCCGAGUGGUGGCCGCUAUUAUUGGGCCUAAAGCGUCCGUAGCCGGGCCCGUAAGUCCCUGGCGAAAUCCCACGGCUCAACCGUGGGGCUUGCUGGGGAUACUGCGGGUCUUGGGACCGGGAGAGGCGGGGGGUACCCCUGGGGUAGGGGUGAAAUCCUAUAAUCCCAGGGGGACCGCCAGUGGCGAAGGCGCCCCGCUGGAACGGGUCCGACGGUGAGGGACGAAGGCCAGGGGAGCAAACCGGAUUAGAUACCCGGGUAGUCCUGGCUGUAAAGGAUGCGGGCUAGGUGUCGGGUGAGCCUCGAGCUCGCCCGGUGCCGUAGGGAAGCCGUUAAGCCCGCCGCCUGGGGAGUACGGCCGCAAGGCUGAAACUUAAAGGAAUUGGCGGGGGAG
Molecule: ribosomal RNA, 794 nt
Filed under: uncultured Thermococcus sp.
Lineage: Archaea; Methanobacteriati; Methanobacteriota; Thermococci; Thermococcales; Thermococcaceae
Description: bacterial SSU rRNA
Rfam family: Archaeal small subunit ribosomal RNA
Source: RNAcentral